Non-coding RNA from Dipodomys ordii (Ord's kangaroo rat), 71 nucleotides. The record is from Rfam. NCBI's taxonomy places the organism in Eukaryota, Metazoa, Chordata, Mammalia, Rodentia, Heteromyidae.
AGUGGGAUACCGUUUCCUUUGUCCAGCUCACAUUUCAAGAUGUCAGUGGAAAGACUGAUUCCUCCAAAUCC